AUACGGAGGAUGCAAGCGUUAUUCGGAAUCACUGGGCGUAAAGGACGCGUAGGCGGGUUGGCAAGUCAGAUGUGAAAUCCUACAGCUUAACUGUAGAACUGCAUUUGAAACUGCUAACCUAGAGUAUGGGAGGGGGAGAUGGAAUUAGUGGUGUAGUGGUAAAAUCCGUAGAUAUCACUAGGAAUACCGAAAGCGAAGGCGAUCUCCUGGAACAUAACUGACGCUAAGGCGUGAAAGCGUGGGGAGCAAACAGGAUUAGAAACCCCAGUAGUCC
This 274-nucleotide ribosomal RNA is filed under the name uncultured bacterium. RNAcentral's name for it is "partial 16S ribosomal RNA". It matches the Rfam family "Bacterial small subunit ribosomal RNA", at positions 523 to 796 of the family's 1533-position model. The record is from RNAcentral.